This is an RNA transcript of Prinia subflava (tawny-flanked prinia), 4656 nucleotides long. RefSeq lists it as uncharacterized. The record is from RefSeq and is a predicted model, not a curated record. Lineage: Eukaryota; Metazoa; Chordata; Aves; Passeriformes; Cisticolidae. The transcript is spliced from 2 exons.
UAGUUUCUCUGUUUGACAAGCAAUGAGUUAUUAGAUCUGGGGUAGCUUAUCUUAAAUCCGGUUUCUUUUAACCAUCCUCUAACUUUUAACUGAUUUCAGCAAAGCUUAUCUAUUCAUUUCAGCUAAAUCAGCGACAUCUAUUGUUAACUAUAACCUUAGCUUUUCUCAAAGCUUCAAAAUUAGUGUCUCAGUAGCUUCUCAAUCAGAUGAGAAAGGUAAAUGCCGGCCUGCCUGCAACAGCUACCAUAUUGCACGUGUGGGUUUUACCUAGUCUUGGUAAUUUUCAGCAUUUCUGCUUAGGCUGCAAAGUGCUGAGAGAUGAAGAGUGGGCAACCUUGUGGCCCCAGUAACAUACUGAUUUGUCAUAGCCGAACUAAGCCAUUUCAGUGGGAUAUUCCCAUACUUAUCUGUGCAUUUUUUCCCAUUCUGCCUCAGUAGUGUUAGGCUACAAAGGAUAGGAAUGUGUGUUUCAGAAUGGGGAGGGGGAGCUCCAAACCUUGCACAGCUCCUGACUGCUGCAGGAGCUUUCCCAUAAGAAGUUUAAGGUAACAGCAGCAUGCCUGAUUACUGUGACAGUGAAGUGAGAGCCUCAUAGUUGGGAAGAGAGGAGGCAGAACCUUAUAAAGAAUGAUGAAAAAGAAAAAGAUUGUGACUUGCAGAAUUCUUUUUGCUUUCCCCACAACUUUUUGUCUUUUGCAAAAGACAUUACUCUAGAAAAGAAAUUGUAAAGGUAAAAUGGGAUAAGUGGUUGGAAAACUGUCUGGCUGCAAAGGACCUAGGAGUACUGGUUGACAGCCAGCUGAACAUGAGCCAGGGUGUGUUCAGGUGGCCAAGAAGGCCAAUGGCAUCCUGGCUUGUAUCAGAAAUAGUGUGGCCAGCAGGACCAGGGAAGUGAUUGUCCAUUUGUACUCCACACUGGUGAGGCCACACCUCAAGUAUUGUGUUCAGUAUUGGGCCCCUCACUACAUGAAAGACAUUGAGGUGUUGGAGUGUGUCUAGAGAAGGGCAAUGAAGCUGGUGAAGGGUCUGAGAGGAAAUGGCCUCAAGUUGCACCAGGGGAGGUUUAGAUUAGAUAUUAAGAAAAAAAAUCACAGGAAGGUUUGUAAAGCAUUGGAACAGGCUGCCCAGGGAAGUGGUGGAGUCACCAUCCCUGGAACUGUUAAAAAAACAUGUGGAUAUGGCAUUUGAGGACAUGGGUUUAGUGGUGAACAUGGUGGUGGUGCUGGGUUGACAGUUGGACCUGAUUAUCUUAAAGGUCUUUUCCAACCUUUGUCACCCUGGUUUUGAAGACUUUUCUAAGCCUUCUGUAAUGUUCUUCAUAUUGGAGUCAGAAAUUUCACCUUAUCACACUUUCUACUAUAAACACUGGCCAUGUUUUGCUGACUCUUUCAUUGUUUACAUAUUUCUAGGUGGGAGGAGAAAGUUGAUUGACAGUUGGCUUGACCAAUAUGGAUUGAGAGGUGGAAUUCCAUCCUCCAAUCCACAGGCACCAUAGGAAAUGUAUAAAACUGAGUUUUGUAAAUAAACUCGCCCUUUUUCCUGCUUCGCUCACCAGCGUGUGCUCGUGUGGUUCUUUCCGUGACCACUGUGACAUCUGGUGACCCCGGUGUGUGUGGUAGGACUGUCUGGGAUGGAGGACCGGUCAUGCGGUGACGGCAGCUUUGGCUCUACUGGGUCGCCUCAAGUCCACUGGACUGUUCUCCUGACCAAAGACCGUCCUGAGAUUGUGUGUACUGUGUCCAUGGCUGAUGCAACGCCGUCGGAGAUUCAACUUCGCAGCCUCCCAGAUACCGCGGCUGAUGUUACCAUUCUCUCCCUGGCGGCUUGGCCCCCGCAGUGGCCUUUGAGCCUGGUACAGACACCUGUCGAGGGCUUAGGAGGAACGAAGCAAUCUUAUCUGAGCCAGAAUCCUGUGAUCAUCACCAACCUGGAGGGACAGAUGGCCAUGAUUUGGCCUUAUGUUACGGAGACUGCUAAGAACCUCUGGGGGAGGGAUGUUUUGGCCGCGUGGGGGGUGCGAAUCACCACGGAUUUUUAAUGGGGGCCACUGUGACGAAGGGCGCAGAGUGUCCCACGCCUCCUUUACGGUGGCUGGUGGACAAACCCAUCUGGGAGAAUCAGUGGCCCCUCUCUCAUGACAAGCUAGUCGCCCUUUGCAAACUUGUACAGGAGCAGUUGGACCAGGGUCAUCUGGAACCAUCUACCAGUCACUGGAAUACUCCUGUGUUUUGUAUCAAAAAGAAAUCUGGGAAAUGGAGGUUGCUACAAGACCUCCGAAUAACCAGUGCCGUGAUGGAAGGCAUGGGGACAUUACAGGCGGGCAUGCCAUCGCCUACCAUGCUUCCUGUGGUCUGGCCGGUCCUCAUCGUGGAUCUGAAGGAUUGUUUUUUUACAAUCCCUCUGCAUCCCGGUGACAGACCAAAAUUUGCCUUCACGGUACCAACAAUAAACAAUGCCAAACCAGCACAGAGAUAUCAAUGGAAAUUUUUGCCUCAAGGAAUGCGAAAUUCCCCGGUAUUAUGCCAAUGGUAUGUGGCCCGUGUCUUAUCUGGAGUCCGCAAGCAGUUUCCUGACGCUCACGUCUCUCAUUAUAUGGACGACAUUUUGGUGGCUGUGCCCACCAAGGAUGAGCUGCUGAGGAUACAGCCUCAGUUGUUGAAUGCUCUGCAUUCACAUGGACUGCAGGUGGCUCCAGAAAAGGUACAACAGCAACCUCCCUGGAAAUAUUUAGGUGUCAAAAUUCUGGAACGGACUAUCCGUCACCAGGAGAUGUAAUUUGUGCAACCUGUGAAGACACUGAAUGAUGCUCAGAAGCUGGUAGGUGUCAUCACUUGGUUACGUCCUUACUUAGGACUAACCACCGCACAACUGUCUCCCUUGUUUGAAUUAUUGAAAGGGGACACUGAUUUAAAGUCACCUCGUCAAUUGACCCCUGAGUAUCACCGUGGAGGCCCAACCAGGAACACAGACUGGGGACACAGAUCUGGGUGUAACAACAGCAGCAGGGCAGAAGACCCUGCCCUUAGUUUAUUUUUCCAUUAUAUAUCUGUGUCAAGGUGACCAUGGAUUGGAGAAGGGUAUCGCCACCUCUCCUGUCACAUUGGUCCAGGAGGCUGUCAUUCAACCUCCCCUUGUCUUGGAGAAAGUAUUCAUAACAUUGCCAAUAUUUACAAAACAUGGUCCUGUGUUUACAAUUCACCAGCGUGAGAAACUGCAUGUUUCUCCUUUAAUAUGAACGCUCAGCAAACCAGGAAAAUUCAUGGCAACAUCUCACCCUUUUAAGUAUAUUAAAAAGAAAACAAAAAAAGAAAAAUGAACAAUUCUAUGACAGGAAAAAAGAAAGAAAAAAAAACCUGUCUAAAGUUCACCGACCUUCAUUUAGGUGACGGUGUGAGGGCUACAUGUUGGUCUGAUUCUGCCUUUGCUACCCAGGGUUUCACCCUGAACCCCUUGCAAUAACCUGCUCAAAAUAUCUCGAGCAUAGUCUAACAUAAUUCAACCAACACCCUCAUAUUUUUAAAUUUUUAUAAGAUACAAGGGAAUAUACGGUGCAAAAGGCAGGAGCAUUCCAAGAAAGAUUUAACCACUCAAUUGAAAAUUCUGAACCCCAAAAGUUCUGUCCCAAAACCACAACCCCCAAACAACGUGCCCUUUCCCCACAGAGGUCACAAUGGCUACCAUACAUAAAACUGAGCCAUAGCAAACAAUUCCUCUGAGUCCAUGAUUAACAUUCCGCUGGCUCUCAGCAUCACACUGCUUCAGUCUGUCCUUGUCCAGCAGCUCCACAGGAUCCAAAGUCUCUAUGGAGGCCAUAUAGGAAAAGAGAGGAUGCCAGUCCGUGUCCAUGUCAAUCAGAUCUCGAAGAGGCUUCUGUGAUGGGUGGCACUAGGGUGGCACAGGGUGCACAAGGUUUCAGGAUCAGUCCAAUGCACCUGAGGCAGCUCAGCAGACUUUCAGCGGCCACCUCCGUGGCAAAGAUCCCAGAACCUGAGGAUAGAGAACUUAGAAAACACAAAUUGAGCAAUUGACUUUUUCUCAAAGAAUGCAUGCAACAUAGGAUGUGGACGUAGAAACCCACUGCAAGGUCCAAGGAAAACUGACCAUAGCUAUGUGGCAACAUCAACACUUCCUACACUUGAGAUGAUGGCUGUACACCAGCCAGAGAAUUUUGCUCUUGUUCUAGAGCUUGGGAAACUGUUUCGUCCCCCUGACGUCUUCGUCUUUUUCUUCGCCUCCGAGUUUUCGGGCUUGGCGUGGGCUCGGCAUGACCCACUGCCUCGCAUGUUUCUGCAGUAUGGUCUGGACCCACACCUUGUGCGCAGAAAAACAAGGGAGUCACUUUCUGUGCCUCCUUUUCCUGUUCUCCACUAGGCUGAAUAUCUGCCUGUGUCUCAUGUCCAUCAUUCUGCCUCUUUUCUGCCGGCUGUGAAGCAGCUGUUGGGGUAAUCACCAUACAAUCACAGGUGUUUAGAACUGCACAGGUCUGGACCAUCUCCAGGACAGUAGAAGUCUCUGGAAUGGUUUCCAGGAGCCUCUGGCAAGCAGAAUUAGCAUGACUUCUUGCUAAUUGCUCCAAUAAUAUCAAUCUUAAGGUACUAUCUUUGACUCUCAUCUCUAAAAUUUUCACCAGAUGCACUAUAAAUUUAGGAAAAGCUU